GUGGGUAGAAGGAAUCUACUUUAUUCAGCACACUAACCUAAUUUCCGAGACAUGUUACAUACCUGAAACAUGUCUUAGAAAUUAUAGUUUUUCUUGGUUUGUGUGCUGAACAAAGUAGAUUCCUUGUACCCA
Molecule: microRNA precursor, 132 nt
Filed under: Medicago truncatula (barrel medic)
Lineage: Eukaryota; Viridiplantae; Streptophyta; Magnoliopsida; Fabales; Fabaceae
Description: MIR2599 microRNA precursor family
Rfam family: MIR2599 microRNA precursor family
Source: Rfam by way of RNAcentral